GGUUGCUCACCAGCAGUCUUCUCCAUACCUUGCGUCAUGGAUAAGGCCCAGAAGUUCCUGCAUGCAUUUAAAGGGGUCUUUGACCGCAGCUGUUUGAGAUCCGUGGUUUGCCAUCAGGCACCAUAAGAAGGGAUGAAGUGACUUUCACAGCAGAGGAUAAGGGUGGAUCACCGACACCCAGAGAGGUCUAUAGAGUCAGUGAGAGCUGAGAUGAGGCCAGCCCAGCCAAAGAACACCAUUGUUCCUGACCAAGCUGAGAGAGACUAGACCACAGGUUAAACCAGCUGCCAAUGUCAACUGCAGAGGCCAGCCAGGUGGGCAGCAACAGGACCGCCAAGGAGCACCACAAAAAACAGAGGACACGACAUAGCUCUGAGGACCCACCACUCCACUGCCUUAAGCCCACAAUUUAUUAUUUCUCUCUCUCACCAGACCAUAAGUUCCGUGAGGUUGAGGACCACUUCUGUGUUAUUCAUCAGUUUAUCCUCAGCACCCAGUACAAUGCCCCGCCCAAAGUAAAGCUCCAUUCCUAUUUGUUGAACAGAAGAGUAAAUGAAUGUUUGACUCCUACACAGCCCAAUACAAGCAUCACCUCGCUGCAGAAGCUUUUCCUGACCCCUCCCAGCUAAAUUGGGCUUCCUGGUAUGGUACUCAUCACGGUGUAUUGUGGACAUUGAUUUUUCUCAUAUUUUUCCCCAUCCCCAGGCCAGUUGAUUAUUAAGACAAAGGAUUGUGUUUAUUCUUUGUGCUGACCACAGUGCCUGGCCCCCAUGGCAAGGGGUCCAUACAUGUCUAUUGGAUUAAUGAAAAUUGAAUACAUGAAAACUACCAGGUUCCGUGACAGCUCACAGCUCCAGCUACAAUCGCCUCCAGGAGGACAGAGCUUCAUUCCCCCUUGUAACCCUGCUCCAGCAUAGUGCCGGGCACAGAGAAGCGGGGACAGAAUAGACCAGCAGAAAGCAAAAGCUCAAAACCUGUGUGGACACUCAUCUGAAUACGUUACCCGCUGGGAACCUGGCCCCACGAGGUUCCAACUGACAGGAAAUAAUAGCACACGGAUGGAAAAAGCUCUAACCUUGUCACGACAACCAUGUAGGGCGGGGCCUUAAGGAAAGCUCUGGAGUGGCAGUGGACCACCUGACUGACCUGGAUGCCUGGAGACUAACUUUUACAAAGAUGAAGGUCCCCUCUGCAAAAGAAGGCGGCUCCCUGGUGCCUUAGAAACUGACGAGUGUAGCUCGAAGCUCUGCAGGCACGUUUUCUUGCUCCAGAAGGCAGUGAGAGUCUCUCGGGCUGUUGUGCAGCUGCAAGAACUCAUAAAGCCAGUACCGUGACUUCAUCUCUGGCCUGGGAGCAGAAUAUGACACAGAGCAGGAGCCAUCAGCUAGUGCUAAAUUGAGGUGAACAGGAAAGACUGGGAAAGACUGGAAAAGUCUGGAGUCUAGUUGCAUACAUUCAAAACUGCACCCUGCUAUGAUGGAAGAAUUUUGCCAUAAGUUAACAGUAUCUUGAAUACACAUUGAGGGGACUGGUAUGUGUGCAGGUAUCUGACUCAGGUUUCAUUUAAGAGAUGCCCGAUAUCCUUCAUCUGGCUCUGAAAUGGCUUGUUGGGUCUCCACCACACAGGGAAUUCAUUCUAGCUUUGAGUUGGUUUUGGUCAUUCCCUAAUGCUGAGGGGGGUGUGUGUGUUUAGUGGUAUACAUUUGAGUAGGGAGUUUGAGAGAUGUUGCGCUUCGGAACUGUGAAAAUUCUCUUGCUUUGGUAGGAGAAAUUUGGGAUGUCUAAGGACAUGCGCUAAUCUGUGGUGAGGGUUGGUUUGGAAAACGCCGUUGGUGGUGGUGGGUUUAUAUAUGUAUAUUUUUAUUGAAG
Equus caballus (horse) is the source of this 1869-nucleotide long non-coding RNA. The record is from Ensembl. Lineage: Eukaryota; Metazoa; Chordata; Mammalia; Perissodactyla; Equidae.